This 59-nucleotide transfer RNA is filed under the name Oryza sativa Indica Group (long-grained rice). It matches the Rfam family "tRNA", at positions 15 to 71 of the family's 71-position model. Rfam says of the family: Transfer RNA (tRNA) molecules are approximately 80 nucleotides in length. Their secondary structure includes four short double-helical elements and three loops (D, anti-codon, and T loops). The record is from Rfam by way of RNAcentral. Lineage: Eukaryota; Viridiplantae; Streptophyta; Magnoliopsida; Poales; Poaceae.
GUUGGUAGAGCGCACCCUUGGUAAGGGUGAGGUCCCCAGUUCGACUCUGGGUAUCAGCA